AAUUGGAGGGCAAGUCUGGUGCCAGCAGCCGCGGUAAUUCCAGCUCCAAUAGCGUAUAUUAAAGUUGUUGCAGUUAAAAAGCUCGUAGUUGAAUUUCGGGGUUAGUAGGUUGGUCAUGCCUCUGGUAUGUACUGGUCUCACUGAUUCCUCCUUCCUUAUGAACCGUAAUGCCAUUAAUUUGGUGUUGCGGGGAAUUUGGACUGUUACUUUGAAAAAAUUAGAGUGUUUAAAGCAGGCUCACGCUUGAAUACAUUAGCAUGGAAUAAUGAAAUAGGACGUUCGAUCUUAUUUUGUUGGUUUCUAGGAUUGACGUAAUGAUUAAUAGGGAUAGUUGGGGGCAUUAGUAUUCAAUUGUCAGAGGUGAAAUUCUUGGAUUUAUUGAAGACUAACUACUGCGAAAGCAUUUGCCAAGGAUGUUUUCAUUAAUCAAGAACGAAAGUUAGGGGAUCGAAGACGAUCAGAUACCGUCGUAGUCUUAACCAUAAACUAUGCCGACUAGGGAUCGGAUGAUGUUAAUUUUUUAAUGACUCAUUCGGCGCCUUACGGGAAACCAAAGUGU
Molecule: ribosomal RNA, 559 nt
Filed under: uncultured Glomus
Lineage: Eukaryota; Fungi; Glomeromycota; Glomeromycetes; Glomerales; Glomeraceae
Description: SSU rRNA
Rfam family: Eukaryotic small subunit ribosomal RNA
Source: RNAcentral